AUUGAACGCUGGCGGCAGGCCUAACACAUGCAAGUCGAACGAGUGGCGGACGGGUGAGUAAUGUCUGGGAAACUGCCUUAUGGAGGGGUAUCCCUACUGGACACGGUCGCUAAUACCGCAUACCAUCAGAUGUGCCCAGAUUGGAUUCGCUAGUUGGUGGGGUAACGGCUCACCAAGGCGACGAUCCCUAGCUGGUCUGAGAGGAUGACCAGCCACACUGGAACUGAGACACGGUCCAGACUCCUACGGGAGGCAGCAGUGGGGAAUAUUGCACAAGGGGCGCAAGCCGGAUGCAGCCAUGCCGCGUGUAUGAAGAAGGCCUUCGGGUUGUAAAGUACUUUCAGCGGGGAGGCGUUACCCGCAGAAGAAGCACCGGCUAACUCCGUGCCAGCAGCCGCGGUAAUUC
RNAcentral lists this ribosomal RNA (406 nucleotides) under uncultured bacterium. RNAcentral's name for it is "partial 16S ribosomal RNA". It matches the Rfam family "Bacterial small subunit ribosomal RNA", at positions 30 to 526 of the family's 1533-position model. The record is from RNAcentral.